Molecule: ribosomal RNA, 253 nt
Filed under: uncultured bacterium
Lineage: Bacteria
Description: partial 16S ribosomal RNA
Rfam family: Bacterial small subunit ribosomal RNA
Source: RNAcentral
UACAGAGGUGGCAAGCGUUGUUCGGAAUUACUGGGCGUAAAGCGCAUGUAGGCGGUUGGGUAAGUGGCGUGUGAAAGCUCCCGGCUAAACUGGGAGAGGACAGGUCAGACUGCCGAACUCGAGUCCGAUAGAGGGGCGUAGAAUUCCGGGUGUAGCGGUGAAAUGUGUAGAGAUCCGGAGGAAUACCAGUGGCGCAAGCGGCGCCCUGGGUCGGUACUGACGCUGAGAUGCGAAAGCGUGGGGAGCGAACGGG